GAUGAACGCUGGCGGCGUGCCUAAUACAUGCAAGUCGAACGGUCCCGGCCCUUCGGGGUUUGGGAUAGUGGCGAACGGGUGAGUAACGCGUGGGUGACCUGCCCCGAAGCGGGGGAUAACAGCCUGAAAGGGUUGCUAAUACCCCAUGUGCUGGGUUGGCUUAGCGGCCGGCCCAGGAAAGGCGAAAGCCACUUUGGGAGGGGCCUGCGUCCCAUCAGCUAGUUGGUGUGGUAACGGCGCACCAAGGCGAUGACGGGUAGGGGACCUGAGAGGGUGGCCCCCCACAAUGGAACUGAAACACGGUCCAUACACCUACGGGUGGCAGCAGUAGGGAAUAUUGCAAAAUGGGCGCAAGCCUGAUGCAGCAACGCCGCGUGGGCGAUGAAGGCCUUCGGUCGUAAAGCCCUUUUGGGAGGGACGAGGAAGGACGGGUACCUCCCGAAUAAGCCUCGGCUAACUACGUG
This 464-nucleotide ribosomal RNA is filed under the name uncultured bacterium. RNAcentral's name for it is "bacterial SSU rRNA". It matches the Rfam family "Bacterial small subunit ribosomal RNA", at positions 28 to 507 of the family's 1533-position model. The record is from RNAcentral.